RNAcentral lists this ribosomal RNA (758 nucleotides) under uncultured Glomus. Its description in RNAcentral is "SSU rRNA". It matches the Rfam family "Eukaryotic small subunit ribosomal RNA", at positions 333 to 1091 of the family's 1831-position model. The record is from RNAcentral. Lineage: Eukaryota; Fungi; Glomeromycota; Glomeromycetes; Glomerales; Glomeraceae.
AUAGAGGCCUACCAUGGUGGUAACGGGUAACGGGGUGUUAGGGCACGACACCGGAGAGGGAGCCUGAGAAACGGCUACCACAUCCAAGGAAGGCAGCAGGCGCGCAAAUUACCCAAUCCCGACACGGGGAGGUAGUGACAAUAAAUAACAAUACAGGGUUCUUUUGGAUCUUGUAAUUGGAAUGAGUACAAUUUAAAUCUCUUAACGAGCAACAAUUGGAGGGCAAGUCUGGUGCCAGCAGCCGCGGUAAUUCCAGCUCCAAUAGCGUAUAUUAAAGUUGUUGCAGUUAAAAAGCUCGUAGUUGAAUUUCGGGAUCAAUAUUUCGGUCAUGCCGUUGGUAUGCACUGUUAUCAUUGAUUUCUCACCUUCUAAAGAACCGUAAUGCCAUUAAUUUGAUGUUACGGGGAAUUAGGACUGUUACCUUGAAAAAAUUAGAGUGUUUAAAGCAGGCUCACGCUUGAAUACAUUAGCAUGGAAUAAUGAAAUAGGACAUUCGAUUCUAUUUUGUUGGUUUCUAGGAUCGAUGUAAUGAUUAAUAGGGAUAGUUGGGGGCAUUAGUAUUCAAUUGUCAGAGGUGAAAUUCUUGGAUUUAUUGAAGACUAACUACUGCGAAAGCAUUUGCCAAGGAUGUUUUCAUUAAUCAAGAACGAAAGUUAGGGGAUCGAAGACGAUCAGAUACCGUCGUAGUCUUAACCAUAAACUAUGCCGACUAGGGAUCGGAUGAUGUUAAUUUUUUAAUGACUCAUUCGGCGCCUUAC